UUCGCCCGAGCGGCGGCCGCGAGGGACGCGGGCCCGGGACGUUUAAAGGGCAAAUUAAAGUUAUCUGGUGCCUGCUGGGAACCGCGGUGUCAGAGCAUGUGCCCGCUGUAUUUAUAGCUCCCGGGAGGCACCGGAGGGAGCAUGGGGAGCUGGCAGGAGCGGUUCAGGCCGUACUAAGCGUUCCGUGCGGCCGAGAGGCAGCGGCUGAGGGCUGAAAGCCUCCCCGGAGCGGUCUGACAGUGCCACCGGCCAGCUGAGAGUGCAUUAAGCCUUGCCCUCGUGUGCGUGGGCUCACGCAGAGGGGGGCGACAUGGAUGUCGUGCCCAACAACAAAGCUCCCCAGGGAUGCACUGCCAGCCUGGAAGGUGGUGCUGUGUUUAUAGGCAUCAGUGACCAGGACUGGACCUCUCUUGAGUCGAGGCCAGAGAGCUGCUUCAUGCUGUACGCACCGCGUGGAACUUGCAGGCAUUGAGGUCUUUAAAUACCCCAGCAUGCUCUGGGACUCGGCUUUCCCGAGGAGGAGACAACAUGCCUUUCUGCAUUGUACCCUCAUUUCACCCCUGCAAGGUCAGACCCUCGCAAGACCCACAGGCAAUCCCCUCUUCAGAAAGAGAGAGAGGGAGGGAAGGGAGGAGACCGUGGGAAGCACAUGCCCAGGCGUGCUGAAGCUGCUUGACUCGCACUAACUGAGAAAGAGUAAAGGCUGCAGUGAAGCUCUGCCUUUAUGCAGCGUCUGACUCUUAGAAGAAUGUUUGAGUAUAAAGUGAAGAUUAAAUGGCUUCCCCCAUUAGUUUCUCAUCUGUUCUGUCUGGCGGACCCCUAUAAGAAAGCAGGAGCUUAUGAUUCAUUGUUGGUUGUUGGGUGACUUGUGUGGAAUACUUACGCAAAAGGCAAUGCAGCAAGGUCUGGUGUCUCCUCUUUUCAUGGGAAAGCAAACACCCCUUUAACACCCCCAGGCUCCUGCUGCUGGUUUCACACAGACCCCCCCGGCUAGUGAUGCUCACAGCUGCUGCCUGACUACCCAGAUUGACAAGGUGUGCACUCAGGUGUCAGCUCUUCUGACUGGUGUAUGGUGAGUGGGAGAUGGGAGAGUGGUGGUGAGAUGCUGCUGGGGAGGAAAGGCAGUGGGGGGCCUGAAGUAAGAGUGGUCUGGGGGUCUAGCCUGAAAGGAUUGUUUGCCAGCCCCUUCCCUACCAUCUUUGAUUUAAAUUCGUGGGGGAGUUAAUUAUUUUUUAGGUAAUUUAAAUUGUUGGGGAGUUUAAUGAUGUUUUAAUAAAGUCUUUAUCACAAGAAUUCCAGUUAGUUUUUGAAGUUAUUGCUGGGUAUCAUCAUCACAUCCACAGAUAUUGUUUAAUCUAUAGCACUACUGUUGUUUA
Non-coding RNA from Cyanistes caeruleus (blue tit), 1376 nucleotides. NCBI's taxonomy places the organism in Eukaryota, Metazoa, Chordata, Aves, Passeriformes, Paridae. The record is from RefSeq and is a predicted model, not a curated record.